AGAGUUUGAUCCUGGCUCAGGACGAACGCUGGCGGCGUGCUUAACACAUGCAAGUCGAGCGACAGUGUUCUUCGGAACAUAUGGAGCGGCGAACGGGUGAGUAACACGUGGGCAACCUGCCCUCAGCUCUGGGAUAACUCCGGGAAACCGGGGCUAAUACCGGAUACGACCUUUCUCCGCAUGGGGGAGGGUGGAAAGUUCUUCGGCUGAGGAUGGGCCCGCGGCCUAUCAGCUUGUUGGUGGGGUCACGGCCCACCAAGGCGACGACGGGUAGCCGGCCUGAGAGGGCGACCGGCCACACUGGGACUGAGACACGGCCCAGACUCCUACGGGAGGCAGCAGUGGGGAAUAUUGCGCAAUGGGCGGAAGCCUGACGCAGCGACGCCGCGUGAGGGAUGAAGGCCUUCGGGUUGUAAACCUCUUUCAGCAGGGACGAAGCGAGAGUGACGGUACCUGCAGAAGAAGCACCGGCCAACUACGUGCCAGCAGCCGCGGUAAUACGUAGGGUGCAAGCGUUGUCCGGAAUUAUUGGGCGUAAAGAGCUCGUAGGCGGUCUGUCGCGUCGGCUGUGAAAACUCGGGGCUCAACCCCGAGCCUGCAGUCGAUACGGGCAGACUAGAGUGCUGUAGGGGAGACUGGAAUUCCUGGUGUAGCGGUGAAAUGCGCAGAUAUCAGGAGGAACACCGGUGGCGAAGGCGGGUCUCUGGGCAGUAACUGACGCUGAGGAGCGAAAGCGUGGGGAGCGAACAGGAUUAGAUACCCUAGUAGUCC
This 771-nucleotide ribosomal RNA is filed under the name uncultured bacterium. Its description in RNAcentral is "bacterial SSU rRNA". It matches the Rfam family "Bacterial small subunit ribosomal RNA", at positions 8 to 796 of the family's 1533-position model. The record is from RNAcentral.